CCUCGGCGUAAANNGGGUGGUUAGAUUAAACCUACACUAAAGCGGANNNNCCUCCCUGCUGUUAUACGUACUCGAGAGCAGGAACCCCAACUACGAAGGUAGCUUUAUUUACAUUGACUCCACGAAAGCUGUGAAACAAACUGGGAUUAGAUACCCCACUAUGCACAGCCGUAAACUUUGGCAGAUUAGUACAAUACCUGCCCGCCAGGGAACUACGAGCAUCAGCUUAAAACCCAAAGGACUUGGCGGUGCUUUAGAUCCCCCUAGAGGAGCCUGUUCUAGAACCGAUAACCCCCGUUAAACCUCACCCCUCCCUGGUCAUCCCGCCUAUAUACCGCCGUCGUCAGCUUACCCUGUGAAGGAAUAAUAGUAAGCAAAACUGGCA
Molecule: ribosomal RNA, 385 nt
Filed under: Chaenopsis sp. 'Stepien et al.'
Lineage: Eukaryota; Metazoa; Chordata; Actinopteri; Blenniiformes; Chaenopsidae
Description: partial 12S ribosomal RNA
Rfam family: Bacterial small subunit ribosomal RNA
Source: RNAcentral